Molecule: long non-coding RNA, 1218 nt
Filed under: Triticum aestivum (bread wheat)
Lineage: Eukaryota; Viridiplantae; Streptophyta; Magnoliopsida; Poales; Poaceae
Description: long non-coding RNA (TAES_LNC027693)
Source: RNAcentral
GCACAUGCACCCUUCCGCUGUCCGAUGCCUGCUGCAACUCCUGGAUUCCGCUGUUCUUGCCGUCGAUUGCAUCUGCGGACGAACUCGCUACCAGUUCAUCCACACCGAUGCCUUCGAUCAUAACCUCCAGAUCAACAAUCGUGGCCUCCAAAUAACCUAGCUCAUGAUACCAUUUGUUAGAAUAAAUUCGAGGCAUAUCGUCGAUCAUCCGAGGACCAAGCAAUCACACGAGCACGACACCGAGAUUUGUUAACGAGAUUCACCGAUAUGGCUACAUCCCCGGGGUCUGACUAUGGGCGCUCCUCCCCAUGACACCGCUACAAUACCGCACCUGGUCGCCCUGGACACCGGCACAUGCCGCCGGCUUCCCCUGCGUUCCGAUGCUAUUAUGUUGGCAUAGGUCUACCCCCGCUAUAUAAGAGAGGCCUAGGAUACAAGUGUCCUACUAGGACACGACUCCACAUCCUAUGUAAACACGAUACAACUACAAGUCCAACUGUAACCUACCUUGUACACUAUAUUCGACACAACUCUAACAACAUUGUUGUUGGAAGUUGGUUUGACUCAUUAUUAGGCGAGGUGACUACUAGUAUGUUGGAUUCGAAAUUGGUACGGCGAGAGCAAGAGCAAGGUUAACUUUGAAAAGACAAAGUGCAUAUAGGGGAUAGUAUGUGGGUGCUCGUUAUGGCCUGACUUCGUUCGGUUAAACAUUGUGUUCGCUCACUAGCUGAAAAAAAAGUUGUGCUAAAACUUUUUAUCAAAAAAAAAUUGUGCUAAACUGGUUUAUAAUUACUGGGUAAGCCAAAAAGGACCAACACAAGAUCAUGCCGGUGCGAGGAUCCAGCGAUGAUUCGUCUACUCAGCUCGGAGGACAACAACUGAUACAUAAGCGAGCACAGGGCCAAGCCAUCGCAGUUCAACGACGACAAGUUAAAGUUAUGUGUGUUUGCUCGGUGAGUGUCAUGUUCGCCUUCUGGACAUCAUUUCUGGUAGGCCGACAUAGUCGGUGUGUUUCAUGUUGACUCCUUUAUAUUUUUGGCAGGGAAGCCAAAGAAGUUGAACACUCGAUCUUGCGAUGUGAGUGCCUGGCAGUGAUAAGGCUACUGAUUUACAAUGCGAGUUACUAGUUGUCCGUCCAAUUUGUACAAUUUGAUUUUCUCUUGUAAGCUAGGAUUUUUCUAAACCUGUAUACAUUUUACGUAAGCAUGUGUUAGUGGG